UAUGUGAUCGUCUCUCGCAUAUCAAUAAGCGGAGGAAAAGAAACUAACAAGGAUUCCCCUAGUAACGGCGAGUGAAGCGGGAAGAGCUCAAAUUUGAAAUCUUAAAGGGUUUCCCUUUACGAAUUGUAGUUUAAAGAAGUGUUUUCUGUUGAGGUUUUGGUAAAAGUUCUUUGGAAUAGGACAUCAUAGAGGGUGAGAAUCCCGUAUUUGACCUUUACUUUCAACUUUGUGAUACACUUUCAAAGAGUCGGAUUGUUUGGGAAUGCAGUCCAAAAUGGGUGGUAAAUUUCAUCUAAAGCUAAAUAUUGGCGAGAGACCGAUAGCGAACAAGUACCGUGAGGGAAAGAUGAAAAGAACUUUGAAAAGAGAGUUAAACAGUACGUGAAAUUGUCAAAAGGGAAGCGUUUGACACCAGUGUUGUUUUUUCUGAAAAUCAAUUAAAGAACUGUUUAUGCUAAGCUGUUUAGACUUUAUCAGCUAUCUGUUUAGUUUUGAGCUUUUCUUUAAUGCACUUUUCAGUUAACAAGUCAACAUCAAUUUCUUUUGCUGUAAAAAAGCUUGAGGAAGGUGGCUUGAGAUUCGUCUUAAGUGUUUAUAGCCUCUUGCCUAUGCAGUCGGAGAGAUUGAGGUCUGCAGCGUAGAUCCUUCGGGACUAAAUGCAUUUGUGCUAAGUUAUAGCAUUUUAUAGACAACUUGUUGACUAUGAUUUGUCUUGUAGCUUACUCGCUUAUGUUAUUUUACCUACGCUUAGGAUGUUGACGCGCGUGUGUGCGUG
This 775-nucleotide ribosomal RNA is filed under the name uncultured Neocallimastigales. RNAcentral describes it as "partial large subunit ribosomal RNA". It matches the Rfam family "Eukaryotic large subunit ribosomal RNA", at positions 24 to 639 of the family's 3401-position model. Lineage: Eukaryota; Fungi; Neocallimastigomycota; Neocallimastigomycetes; Neocallimastigales. The record is from RNAcentral.